Molecule: small RNA, 576 nt
Filed under: Pongo abelii (Sumatran orangutan)
Lineage: Eukaryota; Metazoa; Chordata; Mammalia; Primates; Hominidae
Description: processed transcript
Source: RNAcentral
AAGACCCGCUGUCUGGCCCUGAGCAGGGUGUGACCUCCGCAGUCGCAGAGGAGGAGCGCAGCCCGGCCUCGAAGAACUUCUGCUUGGGUGGCUGAACUCUGAUCUUGACCUAGAGUCAUGGCCAUGCACAAACAACGAGGAAACAGAAGAUUCACCAAACUUUUAUGAACAGCCAACUCUUAUAAAGACAAGGGACCAAUCUGAAAAAUCAGAAUAAAGUCUCCUCGUUAAAGCUGCUGCAAGAAAUAGGCACCGAUGAAGAUGCCAUUAUUAGCAUCCUUGCCUACCGCAACACCGCCCAGCGCCAGGAGAUCAGGACAGCCUACAAGAGCACCAUCGGCAGGGACUUGAUAGACGACCUGAAGUCAGAACUGAGUGGCAACUUCGAGCAGGUGAUUGUGGGGAUGAUGACGCCCACGGUGCUGUAUGACGUGCAAGAGCUGCGAAGGGCCAUGAAGGGAGCCGGCACUGAUGAGGGCUGCCUAAUUGAGAUCCUGGCCUCCCGGACCCCUGAGGAGAUCCGGCGCAUAAGCCAAACCUACCAGCAGCAAUAUGGACGGAGCCUUGAAGAUGACA